RNAcentral lists this ribosomal RNA (468 nucleotides) under uncultured bacterium. RNAcentral describes it as "partial 16S ribosomal RNA". It matches the Rfam family "Bacterial small subunit ribosomal RNA", at positions 28 to 507 of the family's 1533-position model. The record is from RNAcentral.
GACGAACGCUGGCGGCGUGCUUAACACAUGCAAGUCGAACGGAAAGGCCCUGCUUUUGUGGGGUGCUCGAGUGGCGAACGGGUGAGUAACACGUGAGUAACCUGCCCUUGACUUUGGGAUAACUUCAGGAAACUGGGGCUAAUACCGGAUAGGAGCUCCUGCUGCAUGGUGGGGGUUGGAAAGUUUCGGCGGUUGGGGAUGGACUCGCGGCCUAUCAGCUUGUUGGUGGGGUAGUGGAUUACCAAGGCUUUGACGGGUAGCCGGCCUGAGAGGGUGACCGGCCACAUUGGGACUGAGAUACGGCCCAGCCUCCUACGGGAGGCAGGGGUGGGGAAUGUUGUACAGUGGGCGGGAGGCAGAUGCAGCCCCGCCGCGCGCGGGAAGACGGGCAUGGGGUUGUGAACCGCUUUCGCUUGUGACGAGGCGUGAGUGACGGUAACGGGUAAAGAAGCACCGGCUAACUACGUG